UCUGGCAGGAAGUCCCCGUGCCGCGGCUACCUGUGUUUACCCCGGAACCCUCCUGUGACUCCGCGCAGCCUUUGAGCGAGUGAAAGUGCUGCUGGAGUCAAACUGCUUAAAGUAUUAAGGGUGGAUGUUUACGGAGGGAUUACUGCUGCAGACACAUUCGGCUCUGAGCCAUACUUACUUUUAAGAAAACUGUUUAACCUGCAGAAACCGUCAGGCGAUAUAAAGAAACUUCUUUAUUUGAGUCCUUUAAGCCUCUAAGUUUCCAGCUGCUUCUUGAGGAAACGUUAAAGGGACAAAAACAUGAAAACCACGAAGAAGCUUUUAAGAUAUAAAUGAGUCUCUGGCUCCGAGGUGCACGUAUUGUUUUGGGCUGGAAACCUUUAAUGAGAAAUGUUGAGGAUUCCUUCAACUGAGGAACAAACGCUGAAGAACCGCCGCAUUCUCUCCACGUAGCGGUUAGCGCUAACCCCCCGCUGACUUUAGGAAUCAAGAGAACUAUUCAAAGCAGUGUUACCUUCAAGGACCAAACUGUUUGACAGUCUCCUUCUGACCCCCGACACAACAUCAACAAACAGAUAGAAGCUCGACCUCAGCUGAGCGGAGGAGUGUAUCACACCGACUGAUAGAGGGUUUAGAUCCCAGCAUCCUUUCUUUGACCUCAGUACCUCACACGGUGUUUAGAGAGGCCGGUAAACAGAGAGCAGCUUCCCCCGAAUCACUAUCAGAUGUUUAGCUUUGACAUCAAUGCGUCAAACUGUGUUUUUAUCGCAUAGCGCUUGUAUCUGUGCUGCUAAAAUAGACCCGACUGUGUGCUCUGUAAUCCCUCUAUGUGGUGUAAAUAUCGGUCGGAUGGAGAUAAGAGUUUUUACGGGACAUUCAGAAGAGUUCACGGAUGAGCAGAUACCUGAACCCCAAGGAACCACUUUUUAAAUGACUCUUUGAAAACCUGUAUUCAAACAGUGAAUACUUCAUAAACUCGACCAGACGUACUUGAACAUGAGGCGGCAGCGUUUUUUU
Molecule: long non-coding RNA, 1017 nt
Organism: Gasterosteus aculeatus aculeatus (three-spined stickleback)
Lineage: Eukaryota; Metazoa; Chordata; Actinopteri; Perciformes; Gasterosteidae
Source: Ensembl